AAUAUAAUAAAUUUAAGUAAAUAAAUAAAGUCCCAUAAUCAAAAUUUUAAUGAUUGAUACAUCCAACAAAAGUCCAACAAAAUUUAAUUUAUACGUCGUAUGCUUUAAGAAAACGGAUACUUCAACGCGGAGGGCCACGAACUUGGACAAAUUAUACCUACACCAAAUUAAAUGAUUAAGUAAGCAAAUACUCAAAUAAUUAAUAUAAAAAAAUAUAUAUAUUAAUAAUUAUUAUUUUUCUAGCAUAUCCGAGAAGGACCAUAGUCAUGGCAGCAUUAAAUGCUGCCUUGAUGAGUAAUAGACAUAAUGAAGGCUGCAUUAAUGAAGUGUGGAAAAAUUCUUCAUCAUCUGACACAUGGUAAUUAUUCUUUGCAAUAAUACUUGCAAGUUACAUCAUUUGCCAUCUUAUAUAAAUCGGUACAUGCACUUUCUUUCACCAUAAAACAUCACCAUCAUAUAUCCUAAUCAUCCCUUCACAAACCCCACAUAAUCCCUUCACACACCCCACAUACUAUUUCCUCUGCCACUCCAAUUCCACGUCGAACAGAGGAGUCCAAGGAGGAAGAUUUGCACACACUUGUAGAAUCAAGUCCCUAAUCCAACAACACCUCGUCCCCACAUAAAAAGGGUGCCUUCGCAAGUAAAGUUGGAGCGAUAAUUUCAAGUUAAAGGAACUAAAUGAUCCAGGUUGAGCAGCGAAGUGGUGGAGGAAGUGCUAUUGAGACAAG
Molecule: long non-coding RNA, 728 nt
Organism: Salvia splendens (bonfire salvia)
Lineage: Eukaryota; Viridiplantae; Streptophyta; Magnoliopsida; Lamiales; Lamiaceae
Exons: 3
Source: RefSeq, a predicted model, not a curated record